UUUCACAGAUGGGGGAAACUGAGGCCCAAA
Molecule: non-coding RNA, 30 nt
Filed under: Mus musculus (house mouse)
Lineage: Eukaryota; Metazoa; Chordata; Mammalia; Rodentia; Muridae
Also listed under: 1 other name
Source: RNAcentral